RNAcentral lists this ribosomal RNA (255 nucleotides) under uncultured bacterium. RNAcentral describes it as "partial 16S ribosomal RNA". It matches the Rfam family "Bacterial small subunit ribosomal RNA", at positions 524 to 776 of the family's 1533-position model. The record is from RNAcentral.
UACGUAGGGUGCGAGCGUUAAUCGGAAUUACUGGGCGUAAAGCGUGCGCAGGCGGUUUUGUAAGACAGGCGUGAAAUCCCCGGGCUCAACCUGGGAAUGGCGCUUGUGACUGCAAAGCUAGAGUGCGGCAGAGGGGGGAUGGAAUUCCGCGUGUAGCAGUGAAAUGCGUAGAUAUGCGGAGGAAUACCGAUGGCGAAGGCAAUCCCCUGGGCCUGCACUGGACGCUCAUGCACGAAAGCGUGGGGAGCAAACAGG